RNAcentral lists this ribosomal RNA (818 nucleotides) under Psathyrella piluliformis. RNAcentral describes it as "eukaryotic LSU rRNA". The stretch from base 187 to 340 matches the Rfam family "5.8S ribosomal RNA". The record is from RNAcentral. Lineage: Eukaryota; Fungi; Basidiomycota; Agaricomycetes; Agaricales; Psathyrellaceae.
UCUUAUCUUUCCACCUGUGCACUUAAUGUAGGUCUGGAUAACUCUCGCUCACACCGAGCGGAUGCAGGGAUUGCCGUGUCGAAAGACCGGCUCUCUUUGAAUUUCCAGGUCUAUGUACCUUUACAAACUCCAAUUGUAUGAUAAUGAAUGUAGUCAAUGGGCUUUCAAGCCUAUAAAACAAAAUACAACUUUCAGCAACGGAUCUCUUGGCUCUCGCAUCGAUGAAGAACGCAGCGAAAUGCGAUAAGUAAUGUGAAUUGCAGAAUUCAGUGAAUCAUCGAAUCUUUGAACGCACCUUGCGCUCCUUGGUAUUCCGAGGAGCAUGCCUGUUUGAGUGUCAUUAAAUUCUCAACUUCGUCAGUUUUGUUAUGAAACUGUGCGAAGCUUGGAUGUGGGGGUUUGUGCAGAGCGCGUAAAAGCAACCUGCUCCCCUUAAAUAAAUUAGCGAGUUCAAACUGGGCUCCGUCUAUUGGUGUGAUAAUUAUCUACGCCGUGGAUUGGGCUUAGACUUGCUUCUAAUCGUCCGCAAGGACAACCUUUUGACAAUUUGACCUCAAAUCAGGUAGGACUACCCGCUGAACUUAAGCAUAUCAAUAAGCGGAGGAAAGGAUCAUUAAUGAAAUAACUAUGGCGUUGGUUGUAGCUGGCUCUAGGAGCAUGUGCACACCCGUCAUUCUUAUCUUUCACCUGUGCACUUAAUGUAGGUCUGGAUAACUCUCGCUCACACCGAGCGGAUGCAGGGAUUGCCGUGUCGAAAGACGGCUCUCUUUGAAUUUCAGGUCUAUGUACUUUACAAACUCAAUUGUAUGAUAAUGAAU